Gallus gallus (chicken) is the source of this 432-nucleotide long non-coding RNA. RefSeq lists it as uncharacterized. The record is from RefSeq and is a predicted model, not a curated record. NCBI's taxonomy places the organism in Eukaryota, Metazoa, Chordata, Aves, Galliformes, Phasianidae. The transcript has 3 exons.
CUGACAUCACAGAAGCAAUGUUUUCAGUCUAGCAGAGGUGGUGAUGUAAAAAAUCCAAUGUAAGGGGCUUACUGGAGUUGACUGCCUAGAGAACAUGAUGGCCACCAGGGACAAGCAAUGGUGAGCCUUGCUAGAGUCCAGCUGCAAUCAAAAUUGUAGCAAGAAUGAUGUGAGGUGUAACCCCUGUCUGCAAAUGAGCCAAAUACCAGCUUCUGGUUAAUGCUGCUGUUCAAGAAGAUGUGCACAGCUUCACAAUACGCCAGAUAAGGUGUGAAAAAGCCUGCAGAACCCAUACCUCUGGUUCAUGUCUGCAGUAACCUUGCACGGCUGGGAAUCCUUCUGCCAAGAGGAAGAUACAAGAGAAGCAGGGGCUAGCACAUUAGAGGUUAAGUAAUUUGCAUUUCGUUAAUAACACUUCAUUUUUGCCCUCAA